This 1798-nucleotide ribosomal RNA is filed under the name Myroides odoratimimus. Its description in RNAcentral is "partial 23S ribosomal RNA". It matches the Rfam family "Bacterial large subunit ribosomal RNA", at positions 175 to 1975 of the family's 2925-position model. The record is from RNAcentral. Lineage: Bacteria; Pseudomonadati; Bacteroidota; Flavobacteriia; Flavobacteriales; Flavobacteriaceae.
GGAGGCGAACCCGCUGAACUGAAACAUCUAAGUAGGCGGAGGAGAAGAAAACAAAAGUGAUUCCGUAAGUAGUGGCGAGCGAACGCGGAAUAGCCCAAACCAAAGUUGUUACGGCAAUUUUGGGGUUGUAGGACCACGACAUUUCUUGCGGAUUUAAUUAGAAUUACCUGGAAAGGUAAACCGAAGAGGGUGAUAGUCCCGUAUUGGUAAGAGAAGAUAAGAAUAGUGGUAUCCUGAGUAGGUCGGGGCACGUGAAACCUUGAUUGAAACUGGCGGGACCAUCCGCUAAGGCUAAAUACUCCUGAGAGACCGAUAGUGAACCAGUACCGUGAGGGAAAGGUGAAAAGAACCGUGAAUAACGGAGUGAAACAGAUCCUGAAACCAUACGCCUACAAGCGGUCGGAGCCCCUUAGUGGGGUGACGGCGUGCCUUUUGCAUAAUGAGCCUACGAGUUACCGUUGCUGGCAAGGAUAAGUGAUUAAGUCAUGGAUCCGUAGCGAAAGCGAGUCUUAAUAGGGCGCUUAAGUCAGUAGUGGUAGACGCGAAACCGUGUGAUCUACCCAUGGGCAGGUUGAAGUUUAGGUAACACUAAAUGGAGGACCGAACCGUUUAACGCUGAAAAGUUUUCGGAUGACCUGUGGGUAGGGGUGAAAGGCCAAUCAAACUCGGAAAUAGCUCGUACUCCCCGAAAUGCAUUUAGGUGCAGCGAUGAUCGAUAGUUACUUAGAGGUAGAGCUACUGAUUGGAUGCGGGGGCUUCACCGCCUACCAAUUCCUGACAAACUCCGAAUGCUAAGUAAUGAUAGUCAUCAGUGAGGGCAUGGGUGCUAAGGUCCAUGUCCGAGAGGGAAAGAACCCAGACCAUCAGCUAAGGUCCCCAAAUGUAUGCUAAGUUGAAAAAACGCGGUUUGAUUGCCCAGACAGCUAGGAUGUUGGCUUGGAAGCAGCCAUUCAUUUAAAGAGUGCGUAACAGCUCACUAGUCGAGCGAUCGAGCAUGGAUAAUAAUCGGGCAUAAGUAUACUACCGAAGCUAUGGAUUUGCGCAUUUAGUUGCGUGAGUGGUAGGGGAGCAUUCUAACGGCGCAGAAGGUGAUUUGUGAGAAUUGCUGGAGCUUUUAGAAAAGAAAAUGUAGGCAUAAGUAACGAUAAGGGGUGCGAGAAACACCCCCGCCGUAAGACUAAGGUUUCCUCAGCUAUGCUAAUCAGCUGAGGGUUAGUCGGGACCUAAGGCACACCCGAAGGGGGACGUCGAUGGCCAACGGGUUAAUAUUCCCGUACUACUGAUAAUUGUGAUGGAGUGACACAGUGAUGAAAGCACCGCGAACUGACGGAAUAGUUCGUUGAAGCACGUACCUAUAGGUUUGAUAGUAAAAUGCGUCAGACUUGGAGAAAUGCGAUAGUACUUUGAGUCUUCGGACAACGAGAUAGUGUGCCUAAGGGCUGUCAAGAAAAGCUUCUAAACUUAGAUUAUUAGUACCCGUACCGUAAACCGACACAGGUAGUCGAGGAGAGUAUCCUAAGGCGCUCGAGAGAUUCAUGGCUAAGGAACUAGGCAAAAUAGACCUGUAACUUCGGGAGAAAGGUCGCCAGCGCAAGCUGGCCGCAGUGAAAAGGUCCAGGCGACUGUUUAUCAAAAACACAGGGCUCUGCAAAAUCGUAAGAUGACGUAUAGGGCCUGACACCUGCCCGGUGCUGGAAGGUUAAGAGGAGAUGUUAUCUUCGGAGAAGCAUUGAAUUGAAGCCCCAGUAAACGGCGGCCGUAACUAUAACGGUCCUAAGGUAGCGAAAUUCCUUGUCGG